UAGAUAUAAUUUAGCUAUCCGAUCCACAC
Molecule: non-coding RNA, 29 nt
Filed under: Mus musculus (house mouse)
Lineage: Eukaryota; Metazoa; Chordata; Mammalia; Rodentia; Muridae
Source: RNAcentral